UCUUACUGAGUUAUUCCUGGAAUAAGGAUGACACUGGGACACAAUGUUGGUUCAAGUUUCUAUUUCUUGAAAAACAAGGAAGAGAACUAGAGAGAAGACAGGAGAAGAGGAAGGGACUGGGGAAGGGAGACAGGAGAAGGACAGUGGAGGGAGUCAGGAAGUGUGGGGAGGAGCUGUCAGGCUUGAAAGCCUCCCUAGGAGCUCAAUUCUCACAGGGUAAAUUUAGUAACUGCUAAUUAUUUAGAGUCAGUGACUUGAGUGGUUAAAGAACAGGGUGCAAGGACAGAGAAGAACAGAGGAUAAAUCUCCAGCUGGAGUUGACACAGAACCGGCCUACAGAGAACAGCACAGUUCAUCCGUCACGCCUCCUUCUGCUCUGAGCACGGGCAAGGGGAAGGUUCAGGGUCGCGUCCUGACACUCUCGGUGGACAGAGCACCUCAAGGGGAGGGUGAUACACUGAAUCUGUUCCUGGAAGGUGGAUGCAGAACAACUUCAUCCCUUUCUUCUAAGGAGUGAUACACUGAUGCUGUUCCUGGAAGGUGGGUGCAGAGAUGACUGUAUUUAUCCCGAGUUAAAAUGAAGAUGGAACAAAGUGCAUGCAGAAAAUGGCACUGGGAUACAAACAAGUCAGUUAUCCAGGAGAGAACUUUUACCUGCCUGUCUCCCUGACUCAGAGAAGACAAGGCUGCCUUACCUGAGGACUCUCUGGAGAGCUAAAUGGAAAUAUAGAACAACAAUGCAAAUAGAUUGAGGAGAAAAUGAAACCAUCAAAGUCAUAACAACACGGCUGCUUAUGGAGUAUCUGGAUACAGACACGCCCUUUGAUAAAAGAUAUUUCAGUAUGUCAUGUGGUCAGUGAAAGCCUGGAUGUUUCUAGAAUGAAAUUAAAUUACAUAGCUUACAAAGA
Molecule: long non-coding RNA, 908 nt
Organism: Mus musculus (house mouse)
Lineage: Eukaryota; Metazoa; Chordata; Mammalia; Rodentia; Muridae
Product: predicted gene, 41249
Exons: 3
Source: RefSeq, a predicted model, not a curated record